This 486-nucleotide ribosomal RNA is filed under the name uncultured bacterium. RNAcentral's name for it is "bacterial SSU rRNA". It matches the Rfam family "Bacterial small subunit ribosomal RNA", at positions 30 to 511 of the family's 1533-position model. The record is from RNAcentral.
AUUGAACGCUGGCGGCAUGCCUUACACAUGCAAGUCGAACGGCAGCACGGGAGCAAUCCUGGUGGCGAGUGGCGAACGGGUGAGUAAUAUAUCGGAACGUGCCCAGUCGUGGGGAUAACGUAGCGAAAGCUACGCUAAUACCGCAUACGAUCUAUGGAUGAAAGCGGGGGAUCGCAAGACCUCGCGCGAUUGGAGCGGCCGAUAUCAGAUUAGGUAGUUGGUGAGGUAAAGGCUCACCAAGCCGACGAUCUGUAGCUGGUCUGAGAGGACGACCAGCCACACUGGAACUGAGACACGGUCCAGACUCCUACGGGAGGCAGCAGUGGGAAUUUUGGACAAUGGACGCAAGUCUGAUCCAGCCAUUCCGCGUGCAGGAUGAAGGCCCUCGGGUUGUAAACUGCUUUUGUACGGAACGAAAAGGUUUCUAUUAAUACUAGGAGCUCAUGACGGUACCGUAAGAAUAAGCACCGGCUAACUACGUGCCAG